GAUGAACGCUGGCGGCGUGCCUAAUACAUGCAAGUCGAGCGAACAGACGAGGAGCUCGCUCCUUUGACGUUAGCGGCGGACGGGUGAGUAACACGUGGGUAACCUACCUAUAAGACUGGGAUAACUUCGGGAAACCGGAGCUAAUACCGGAUAAUAUUUCGAACCGCAUGGUUCGAUAGUGAAAGAUGGCUUUGCUAUCACUUAUAGAUGGACCUGCGCCGUAUUAGCUAGUUGGUAAGGUAACGGCUUACCAAGGCAACGAUACGUAGCCGACCUGAGAGGGUGAUCGGCCACACUGGAACUGAGACACGGUCCAGACUCCUACGGGAGGCAGCAGUAGGGAAUCUUCCGCAAAGGGCGAAAGCCUGACGGAGCAACGCCGCGUGAGUGAUGAAGGUCUUCGGAUCGUAAAACUCUGUUAUUAGGGAAGAACAAACGUGUAAGUAACUGUGCACGUCUUGACGGUACCUAAUCAGAAAGCCACGGCUAACUACGUG
Molecule: ribosomal RNA, 497 nt
Filed under: uncultured bacterium
Lineage: Bacteria
Description: partial 16S ribosomal RNA
Rfam family: Bacterial small subunit ribosomal RNA
Source: RNAcentral